UACAGAGGGUUCAAGCGUUAUUCGGAAUUACUGGGCGUAAAGGGCGCGUAGGCGGCCUCGAAAGUCUGAUGUGAAAGCCCUGGACCCAAUCCAGGAAGUGCAUCGGAAACUGCGGGGCUCGAGUGCAGGAGAGGAGGACGGAAUUCCUGGUGUAGAGGUGAAAUUCGUAGAUAUCAGGAGGAACAGCAGUGGCGAAGGCGGUUCUCUGGACUGUAACUGACGCUGAGGCGCGAAAGCGUGGGGAGCAAACAGG
RNAcentral lists this ribosomal RNA (253 nucleotides) under uncultured bacterium. RNAcentral's name for it is "partial 16S ribosomal RNA". It matches the Rfam family "Bacterial small subunit ribosomal RNA", at positions 524 to 776 of the family's 1533-position model. The record is from RNAcentral.